GGCCUCGUGGCCCAAUGGCAAGGCGUCUGACUACGAGUCCGAUCAGGAGAUCGGUUCACUAAAUGUAAUCAGGAGAUUCUGGGUUCGACCCCCAGCGAGGUCA
This is a non-coding RNA of Xylariaceae sp. FL0594, 103 nucleotides long. NCBI's taxonomy places the organism in Eukaryota, Fungi, Ascomycota, Sordariomycetes, Xylariales, Xylariaceae. The record is from the annotation of a GenBank genome assembly.